Long non-coding RNA from Cyprinus carpio (common carp), 1805 nucleotides. Lineage: Eukaryota; Metazoa; Chordata; Actinopteri; Cypriniformes; Cyprinidae. The record is from Ensembl.
UUGAGGUAGUUUUGAAUGCCCCCACCCACCCCCCCAACCCCAACCGCUACGUAACCCCCGCCCCCCUUUUAAGGAAUGUCUUGGCCAGCUGCUGUGAGGGGAAGAUGGUGGGAGGGGGUCGUCAUAGUGGGAGUGUAGGGGGGUGGUGAUGAGGCACACACUGACCCUGGAGGUUGCGUUCCCCUUUAAAAGUCACGGCACACUCAGAUACGCAAGGCUCAUGCAGGAGCUGCUGCGGCAGUGGGAGAACACUGCUGAGCUGUGCAGUUUGUACUGCCAGUGAGCGCGCAGAGAGGAGGAGGGGGAGCAAGAGAUAGAAAAAGAGAGAGAGAGCCAGAGAAUGAGGCAGGGAUAGAAAGCGAACAAUGUCAUUCCAUUCAGCAGGCAAUGCUGCAGUCAACUUUACACCUCCGGAGAAGAAGACACGGCCGCUUGUGCAUCAUCCCUGCAAGACCCGGAGUUUUUGCUGCUGAAGCCCUAAAGCAGAGGGCGCUGUGCAGACCAACAAGAACAUGCCUUGACUUGUACCGGCUUGUCAGGAGGGAGUUAAGGCUUGUGGUCAGCACCAGCAACUGUAUUGUUCUCAUCUAAAUGACCAGUGAAAGAUGACAACUGCAUACUAUCGACUGGAGAAUAUAUGGAUAUUGGGACAGACUGAGCUGAGAAUCUCGGCAGGGAUAUCCUCUCUCUGGAAGAUCCCUGACUUCACCUCCUCUGAUGACAUGACCCCUGAGAGAGACAAAAGAAACGUUUCCAGAUGUCCUGGAGAAGAUGAGAGACCCUGUGUCAGCAGUAAGGAAACCUCUCACCUACCUUCAUCUCUUGGAAAGCAAAAGCAGAACAAAGGCUUAUUCUUUAAGGGGAAAUCUACCUCUGUCCCUUGGCUGUCAUACAAGUACUGUGUGUGGACAUUCCACGAGCAGAGUAUUAAAGUGUCCAGAGCUGACCUGCAGGAGACGGCAGAGUCAUAUACUGGAAGCCUUUACAGUCACCGACAGCUGAUGGUGAUGGAAGGAAAGAGAGCGAGUGAGGGAUGAGGGCUGCUGCUGUGAGUGGUUCUUUGGCAGUGUCUUAGCUGGUUGUUGUGUGGAGUGAGAACGAAGCAAUCAGCAAGUAUACUGCCGCAGAAACUCGUCACCUUGAGAGGCCCAUCCAUCCGACCCCGCUCAUACACUCGACUGCCCACCCGCACUCAGAGGCUGGAGAGAGACAGGAAAAGAGAAACCUUAGUCUGUGCUCAUUAUCAAGCUUCUCUACCCAUUCAUUCUUCUUCUAAUUGUGAGUGUCAGCUUUUGUUUAAUGGCACCGCUGCUUAAACACUUACAGCGACUUGAGUGUUUCAAGUGAAAGAUUGGUUCAUGCUUACAGUAUGUUUACUCUUAUUUUCUAUGACAUUGCUGACUUAGUUUAGAUCAGUCUGUUCCCUUUCUUUCUUCUUCCAUGAGAUCAAGAGUGAAUCAUUCAAGUGUUAUUGUGAAUAUCAGCUGACCAGAUUUCACAGUUUCAGUAAUGGUAUGACUUGGCCUAUAUUUAGCUUACAGUCUGAUGACAUAUGCAUACUGUGUUCUGUGUAUGUAUAAACUUAAUCGUGGACCAAAACAUUAAUCAUAUGAUAAACCAAAAAUAAUAUUUAUUUACAUUUCACUUAUAUACUAAAAUUAGAGAGAAUAUACAUGUGAAAGAAAGAAAUACAGUGGGUAAGGAAAGUAUUCAGACCCCCUUAAAUUUUUCACUUUCACCCUAAUACUUAGGACCAUGUGAUAUUUCAGUUUUUCUUUUUUAAUAAAUCUGCAAAAAUGUAAACA